AUUGAACGCUGGCGGCAUGCCUUACACAUGCAAGUCGAACGGCAGCACGGGUGCUUGCACCUGGUGGCGAGUGGCGAACGGGUGAGUAAUACAUCGGAACGUACCUUAUCGUGGGGGAUAACGCAGCGAAAGCUGUGCUAAUACCGCAUACGCCCUGAGGGGGAAAGCGGGGGAUCGCAAGACCUCGCGCGAUUAGAGCGGCCGAUGCCUGAUUAGCUAGUUGGUGGGGUAAAAGCCCACCAAGGCGACGAUCAGUAGCUGGUCUGAGAGGACGAUCAGCCACACUGGGACUGAGAACCGGCCCAGACUCCUACGGGAGGCAGCAGUGGGGAAUUUUGGACAAUGGGGGCAACCCUGAUCCAGCAAUGCCGCGUGAGUGAAGAAGGCCUUCGGGUUGUAAAGCUCUUUUGUCAGGGAAGAAACACCGGCUCUAACACAGUCCGGGAAUGACGGUACCUGAAGAAUAAGCACCGGCUAACUACGUGCCAGCAGCCGCGGUAA
Molecule: ribosomal RNA, 501 nt
Filed under: uncultured bacterium
Lineage: Bacteria
Description: partial 16S ribosomal RNA
Rfam family: Bacterial small subunit ribosomal RNA
Source: RNAcentral